UGAAAGUGAUAGGUGUUGUUUGUUGAGAGGCAUGUGGUGUGGAAGAGAUUGGGAUUUGUUAAAAAAUGGAAAGAAAGCACAGGAGCAAACCUGCUUCCUUCUAAGUGAGAAGACUUCAAUAUAUAUAUAAAACCCAUAUGUCUAUUUAAUCACUUACAAGACAUAGGAACAGAUGGAAGUAUCUGCCAGCAGGAUGAUCUCUGCUUUAAUGAGACUUCUCAGUCUUCAAUGGGAGUUGCCCCAGCAAAUUUUUGUUGUCCAACCCAGGGGUUCCCAAACUGUGGACCAUAGACCACCAGUGGUUUGCAAGCCUCAUUCUGGUGGUCCAUGUCUGUGAAGAACAUUCGUCGUUCUUAGAUCUUGGCAGCUCACCUGGAGAGUGAGUGGGACAGUCCGAAAGUGACAGAGGGAGGGGGCAUUCGAAAGAAGCAGAGAGGAUUAGCAGAUAAGUUACUGGAAGGCUAGAAUCCAGAAGUUCAAUCUUUUUUCAAUUAAAAAAAAUCAUAACCAUCUAGCACAGCUAUUGCUACAACAAGCAGAAAAAGAAUUAACUGGUCCAAGACCAUAGGCAAUUUUCAAGUCAUGUCCCUUGAAGUGGACCCUGCACAUCCCCAAAUCCUGAGGCCCAUUGUAGACUCUCAAAAAAUCAAGUUAUAGCAAAGAGACUACUAUGUGGUACUUCAGAUUUAGUUUUUAUAGACAUUUUUUGGAACACAUUUUAAGCUGAGCAACAUGGACGGUAGAAAAGCAUGCUUCCUGAACCUUUGUGCUGGCAACAAAGAAAUGUCAGGUCACCUGCAUGAAAAAGCACAGUAAUGCAGGAAACAUGUUUAACUACCAUCAACAUAUUUCAACCAAUAGGAGAGAUGCUUAAGCAGUGAAAACCUCUUUAAGUGCCUGUGUUGCCCAAAUGUAAUGGGAAAUGAAAGAUACUUUUAUAGUCUCUGUACAUUUCCACCCCCCGGAUGUGGUUUGUAUUGGGGUUGUACUCUACAUCUUGUUUGAAUUACCGUACUUUUCUGUGUAUGACUGUUUUUUUUUACUCUAAAAUAAUGUUAAAAAACGGGAGUCGUCUUAUACACAGGGGUCAUCUUUCCACAUCUUCGUAAAUCUGUGUCCCCCAAAAUUGGGGUCGUGUUAUACAUGGGAAAAUACGGUAUUUCACUUCCGCUGGGGGAGAUUUGUCUAUCAUAACCCAAUCCCUCCAAGAGCACCAGACAAGUCACACUUCAACCUUCUUGCUUUGCUUAAUUGUGCAAUUAUCAGCUUGCAUGAGCAAAAUCUAUUUUUUCUUUGCAACAAUCUACUCCUAAGGAUGUAGUCUGUGCCAGUUCAAAGGUUGCUUUUAGCAUUUUCAAGAGUCCAUUAGUUCUAGUAAUGCGAUCAAUUCACAUGCUGUGUAGGUCUAACAACGCUGUUAAUACAAAAAAAAAAAAAAGUUCACAAUCUUCAUUACAGAAGCCUCUUAUAUCUAUAACAUGCAAAAGGUUUUUGAAUGUAUUGCAGCAGAUAGAAAGGCUUUGUGUUUUGAGUAAAUUAAUACCUGUAAGGUAACUGUAGAUGCUAAACAAGAUGUUCAAAUGACACCUCCGUUUGCCUUUCUAAAUUUGUUCACAUGCCAAAACUUGCAUUUAAUGAAAAAGGACUUGAUUAGCCAUUUGCUCAGUGCAGCCAGGAUAACCAUAGCUAGGGCAUGAAAAUAAUUAUCAAGAGGCAUGGCACCAAGCGCAGCUUAUUGCAUUAUUGGAAAAACUUGCCCAUAAGCUAAGAUGUAUAAAUAGACAACAUAGGUGAGAUGCAUGUAUAGACACAUGGUGUGAUUUUAUUGUUUUCACAAAUAUACCAGAACAUAUUCUGGCUCCACCUAUACACAAUUUGUGGCAGACGUGAAUCAAGUAGCAUUUGACUCCAUGAAAUAUGUCAUACCCACUACCUCCAGGCUUGCUGAGAGAUGAUAAUGAAAUAAUAGUCAAUCAGCACUUCUUCUUCAGAUGUUAUAUUAAAGAAACUGGUCAGAUCCUCUUAAAGGACCCAUUCCAAUAAUAAUUAUAAGAACUGCAUUUAAUUGUAUUUUUUAAUGUGAUUUUCAACAUACUUCUUAAUAUUUUUCCGAUUCUCCUGUUUCCUGUAUCCCUCUCACAUAUUCCCUAGUAAAAUGUUCAUGCUGCUGUUUAUUGUUUUUAUAACAAUCUUUUUUUAAAAAAAAUAAAAAAUGUAAAGACAGGUGUUAGGUGUUUGGAAGAGACUCGGUUGAUGCUGCUAUCAACUGUUGUUUAGUGGUGCUUUGUUGUUUUAAUGGAUUGUGUUCUCUAAAACAAAGAGGAGUAACUGUAGGUUGUGUUCUGUAUCCAUCAGAUUAUGUAAGCAGCAGUUCUGGCAACAGGUUGGACUUUCUGGAAGCUGGGUCCUGGCAUUUUGCAGCACAAUUUGAGCAGCACUGACAGGCUGCAUUAUUUUCAAAAGAACAGUUUUCAGCUAGGCUACAUGUUGACCUCAAGCUGCAUCCAACUGGCACCCCAGAAGCUGCUGGAAAGUUAUUUGAUCCAGUGGAGCCUUCUGUCAGUGGAAAAGGGAUGGAGGUGAUCUUGGGUGGUCCUCCCUCCCUCCUGCAACUGCUGUGACAAGGCCCACAUUAUUCCGGAGUGUUCCACACCCUAUGAGCAAAUUUGGGGCGGCACAGAGGAACUUGCUGGAUAGCUUUGGUCUCUGUUCUGGUGAAGGCUCUGCAGGAUCAAACAGCAUUCAGCGAGUGGAGGGACACAACUGGAUAUAGUGGGUUCACUGUAGCGUUUGACCUGCAAUCUUCUACUAUAGCUCAAGGUAGAAAAGAAAGGUGUGUAGACUCUGCAGAACAAGGUAAUGGAAAUCUGGCUUAUUCCUGGCACUUAAAAAAUAUCAUGCUGUUCUCCUAACAGACUUCUGUUAGAAGAAACCAGCUUAUUACUGAAGCUCCCUUUCAAGUUCUCAUUUUAAUAUUUUGCCAAUACCUGA
Molecule: long non-coding RNA, 2991 nt
Filed under: Podarcis lilfordi (Lilford's wall lizard)
Lineage: Eukaryota; Metazoa; Chordata; Lepidosauria; Squamata; Lacertidae
Source: RNAcentral